UGUAGGUUUUGGCAUCUGCUAAGACAACAAGUCUCUCCAGAACAGACUAAAGGAUACUAACUGUUGGAGCUCCAGCCACCAUGUAGGAAGUCUGGCUAUCCCGAGGCUGCCUUGUGGAGAGUCUAUAUGGAGUGAUGACAUAUGGAAAGAAAAAAACAGCCCCAUAACCUCCACUAACCAGAUGUUUGCAUCAUUCCAGCCCAGGCAGUGUAGGCAACCGACAGAAGAAUUCUGCGGACAGAAUUCAGGCCACUGCAGCUGUAGCUGUACACAGGCAACUGGCAUGUCUGGAAAAUCGGGUGGUAAUUCUGAUUCUAACUUAGCAAACGUGGGACUCCCUAUCAUUUGAAUCAAUGAACAUAUUUUCAUUUUUGGCAUUAAAGAAAUCCAGGCACAACAUUAGCAUGAUAGGUAAGUGAAGCACAAACUUCCAUUAUUUUACAACAAAAUAGACCCAAAGAUUUGGGGCUUU
This is a long non-coding RNA of Herpailurus yagouaroundi (jaguarundi), 472 nucleotides long. RefSeq lists it as uncharacterized. NCBI's taxonomy places the organism in Eukaryota, Metazoa, Chordata, Mammalia, Carnivora, Felidae. The record is from RefSeq and is a predicted model, not a curated record. The transcript has 4 exons.